Sarcophilus harrisii (Tasmanian devil) is the source of this 2675-nucleotide long non-coding RNA. NCBI's taxonomy places the organism in Eukaryota, Metazoa, Chordata, Mammalia, Dasyuromorphia, Dasyuridae. The record is from Ensembl.
UCUUUUAUGUCCUCCUUAUCAUCCAGUACAGAGAUGGACAUGUAUUUACUAGUCUUCAAAGGCUUCUUUGAAGGAAUGAAUUAAUGAGCAGAUGAAAAACAAGACAGGUACAAAAUUCAUAGCUCCUUAUUUCCAAUCUAUUGCUUAAAGCUCCAUUGUCUUCCACACUGAUGUGGCAAGGUUGGGUGAGAGAGAUCAGUUUUCUCAUCACCAUUUGAUUGGCAAAGAAACUGAAUUACAAAUGAAUUAACCAGUGGACCCCAUAUCACAGUGAAUCAGAUCCAGAGCCCGGGAGAGAAUUCUUAACUCUAAUACUUCUUCAUCUGUAUUAACCACUUUGCCACAUUCCUCUAAGAAAGAUCAGAGUUCUAGCCACAAUAUUUCAGCUCAAGUAUCAAAAAUUCAUCAUGUUCACAGAAUUCAAAAGCUACCCAGAUUGUAAACACGGAAGAGAUUUAACAAUGCAGCUCUACGCAUUUUCAGCCCCAGAUGACACUGGCUUCCUAUGUUACUAUUGCCAUAUUGGCAGAGAGAAGAUCUGAAUGGGAAUAGGAGAACCCUCCAAAUACCACAACGACCUUUUCUUUCAAGAUUUUAUAAACAAGUUUGCAUGGAGAAAAUAGCAAGUGACCACUGCUCCAGCAUCAUGGAUUUCCUUUCUGUCCCUUUAUGGUUCAAACUCCUUGUCUCUUGGAAGUGAACUAGAGAGAGACAAAGGUUUCCUUCAGGCCCUUGGAGUUAAGAGUAAAUGGCUGAGAAGACAGUGAGAAUAAGGAAUCUAUCUUCCAGGAAAUGAUAUCAGGAAAUGAUUCCCAAGGCCCUGAGGAGGAAAAUAGAGUUCAAGGCUUAGUAUUAUUAUCAGUGACCAACUGGGAUGAAAGAAGGCUCACUGGGCAAAGCCAAAUUUCUUCUGGGAGGAGAGAAAGACCCUCCAGUCAUGAGAAGGCCUUCAUAAGUGCCUCUGGAAUGCUUUUGUGUAACUUCAUGAAGGAAAUCUCUUUAGCGAAUCUCCAUAGCCGUGUUUCACCCUGUGAACAGCUAAGAGAGCAGCAGAUACUCAGCCAGAGUGGAGGAAGGGGAGUAGAAGAAAAAGAGGAGGAAUACGCCCAGAGGAUAAGGGAUACAAGUUUGGUUUUUUCCCUUUCCUUCUUUGUUGUAGUCAAACCUCAUGCUGACCUGGACUAGUAGAGUAUCCCUCUUUCUGAACUUCUUGGCUCAAGAACAUGAAUAGAGAGAAAAAAAUGCACCAUAAUACAAUCAUGCUCAUGAAUGUCAAUCAGCUCAUCCUCAAAAACUUUGUGAAGGGGGGGGAAGUCUCUCUGAAUUUACUUAAAAGGGCAAAACAAUAAAAAGGAGCUGCUGCCAACUUGGCUAGCUGGUUUUCUCUGCAUCAUGUUUCAGGGCUCAAACAGCUCUGAGGAGACCAUAAUCACUUAGUCCCAGCUUCUGGCAGCAUUCCUUCUCAAACGCCAAGCCUGAGGAAGUAUACUGCUGAAUUAUUGAGCCAGAAAAUAUUAGUGUUGGAGGGGUCCAUCCAGCCCUACACCCUCAUUUUAUAGAAGCAAGCCCCGAGACCCAAAGAAAUUAAGACUUUGCCCACGAUCCUCAAGCUAGUCAGUGGUGGGACUGGGCCUAAUACUGAGGGAUGCAAAGAGGGUAGCAUUUGCUGUGGGCAUAGGAAAAAAGGCUUCAUUCCACCAGUAAGCCAGCCAAAGUAAGCAGAAGGCCAAAUUAGACCCUGCACACCAGGCACGAGGAGGAACCGAUAAUUUAAAGCAAGGCAUGGAGAUGGAGUGAUGUGAACUCCCAAGUUAUUGAUGGUCAAAGUGAAGAGUGAGAAGAGUGAGUUGUUCUCUCCUCUGCCCAGAAGGAAGAGGGAAAGAACCGAGACUCAGCCAUCAAUUCUGUUAGGGAUGUAAAAUAAUACCAAGACUGGAGACUGGUUAGCCAGAAAUAUUCCCGCUAUCCUUUCAGGCUCCCACAUGCUCAGACCCAAAGCUAAAAAGUCUUCAUGACAGAAACUAAAACAAAUAUUACAAAGUCUUCUGGGAGAGCUAUUUUCUUUGAACAAAUGUGGGCUGCUUGAGAUUACAUCUAGGUGGCAGGAGAAGCCUUUGGGGUUUGUGGGGAUCUGUAUAUGGGGAGCAUGUGCAUAUGUACCUAGGCACACGUGCAAGAAUAUAUUGGUAAGGGCAGGGAGAGAGUGUUAUAAAAAGGCUGCCACAAAGUAAACACUAAGUUUUCUUGGUAUCUCUUCUUGACAUCUAAGUGUUGAACAGGAAAGCACCACAUGGGCUAGCCAACAGCAUGAAGCCUUCGUUUCCAAAGGAUUUGUUCCAGCUGGUCAGUGACUGGCCUCUCUUCCAGGACUGGUUGGAAACAAGAGGGGGAUUUCAAAAGGCCCAGUGAAAAGAAUUCAGAGGACAUGCCAUUAUUAAUGUUCCUGGUUAGGGAUGCUUAAUGCAAAUUUACUCCCAAAAGACUAUUCUACCUUUUCCACUCAAGGCCAAGUUCAAAAUGACAUGUUCUCUUUACUAUGAGCUGAAGGUGAAAGGAUAAUUUUUGAACAGAAGGGAAAAUGCUUUUUCUGAUACCAAGCCCUAGAGUGAUGAUAUAAGAGGUGGAAGACCUUAUUCAAUUUUUACUCUCUGAUGUCUGGGUUAAGCAUUUAACCU